GUAUAGCAAUAGCUACUUGCAUCAUAGUAGAUAUGAUGCAAGAUCGACUAUGUUGAAUAAAAUUCUAGGUAGAAUUAUGAUAAUGACAUUGUCUGCCUAUGUGUCUUGACCAAAUUACGUGCCAGCAGUCGCGGUAAUACGUAGAAGACUAGUGUUAUUCAUGUUUAAUCGGUUUAAAGGGUACCUAGACGGUAGAUCAAGCUUUCUAAUAAAGGAAAAGGACUAAUUUACUAGAGUUACUUAUGAGGGGGUAUUAAAGUACUGCUGGUGUAGAGAUGAAAUUCUGUCAUACCUCUUUUCAAAAGAAAAACCAUGGCACAGGUAUAGGCGAAGGCAUCCCCUUAUGUGAUAACUGACGUUGAGGGACGAAGGCUUUGUGUAGCGAACAGGAUUAGAUACCCCAGUAGUCGAAGCAGAAAAUGAUGAAUGUCAUAGAUUAGAUAUAUAAGUUUAUUCUAUAAAUGAAAGUGUAAGCAUUCCACCUCAUGAGUAAUUUGGCAACAUUGGAACUGAAAUCAUUAGACCGUUUCUGAAACCAGUAGUGAAGUAUGUUGUUUAAUUUGAUGAUCCGCAAAAAACCUUACCACAAUUUGAAUAUUUAUAUUAUUUAUUGUUUUAUUAUUAAUAUUCUUAUUAUWAKWUAUUGUUUUAUUAUUAAUAUUCUUAUUAUAAGAAUAUUAAUAAAAAGGCAAUAAGAUAUAUUUACAAGCGUUGCACGGCUGUCUUCAGUUAAUGUCGCGAGACUUUGGUUAGUUCCAUUAAAUUAACGUAAACCCUUACUUUAUUUUUAUAUAGAGUAGUUCCCCGCUAUAUUGGAUAUGAUAACAGG
This 829-nucleotide ribosomal RNA is filed under the name Xanthoparmelia sp. RNAcentral describes it as "SSU rRNA". It matches the Rfam family "Bacterial small subunit ribosomal RNA", at positions 367 to 1152 of the family's 1533-position model. Lineage: Eukaryota; Fungi; Ascomycota; Lecanoromycetes; Lecanorales; Parmeliaceae. The record is from RNAcentral.